Molecule: ribosomal RNA, 440 nt
Filed under: uncultured bacterium
Lineage: Bacteria
Description: partial 16S ribosomal RNA
Rfam family: Bacterial small subunit ribosomal RNA
Source: RNAcentral
CCUACGGGUGGCAGCAGUGGGGGAUAUUGCACAAUGGGGGGAACCCUGAUGCAGCGACGCCGCGUGGGUGAAGAAGCGCCUCGGCGCGUAAAGCCCUGUCAGCAGGGGAGAAAAUGCCGGUACCUGAAGAAGAAGCCCCGGCUGACUACGUGCCAGCAGCCGCGGUAAUACGGAGGCGGCAAGCGUUAUCCGGAUUUACUGGGGGUAAAGGGGGCGCAGACGGCUGUGCAAGUCCGGAGUGAAAGCCCGGGGGCCAACCCCGGGACUGCUCUUGGAACUGCGUGGCUGGAGUGCAGGAGGGGCAGGCGGAAUGCCGGGUGUAGCGGUGAAAUGCGUAGAUAUCAGGAGGAACACCGGUGGCGAAGGCGGCCUGCUGGACUGCAACUGACGUUGAGGCCCGAAAGCGUGGGGAGCAAACAGGAUUAGAUACCCGAGUAGUC